RNAcentral lists this ribosomal RNA (1988 nucleotides) under human gut metagenome. RNAcentral describes it as "bacterial LSU rRNA". It matches the Rfam family "Bacterial large subunit ribosomal RNA", at positions 1 to 1985 of the family's 2925-position model. The record is from RNAcentral.
AUAAGAUAUCAAGGGCAACAGGUGAAUGCCUUGGCGCUGAGAGGCGAUGAAAGACGCGGUAAGCUGCGAUAAGCAUCGGGGAGGAGCUAAACAUCCUACGAUCCGAUGAUUUCUGAAUGGGGAAACCCGAUGGGAGUCAUGUCCCAUCAUCCUGAGCUGAAUAUAUAGGCCCAGAGAAGCCAACCCGGGGAAGUGAAACAUCUCAGUACCCGGAGGAAGAGAAAUCAAACGAGACUCCCAAAGUAGCGGCGAGCGAAAUGGGAAGAGCCCAAACCGGGUGGUUUCGACCAUUCGGGGUUGUAGGGCCGGCAUACGCGAUUCUGGAGUAGGCAGAGGAAGUGAGCUGGAAAGCUCCGCCACAGCGGGUGAUAGCCCCGUACUCGAAACCGAAAAGGACGCAGCCGGUACCUGAGUACUGCGAGGCACGUGGAACCUCGUGGGAAUCUAGGGGGACCAUCCUCUAAGGCUAAGUACUCCUCAGCGACCGAUAGUGAACUAGUACCGUGAGGGAAAGGUGAAAAGAACCCCUGUUAGGGGAGUGAAAUAGAAUCUGAAACCUGUUGCCUACAAGCUGCGAGAGCUACUUCGGUAGUGAUCGCGUGCCUUUUGUAUAAUGAGUCAGCGAGUUACUCUACCGUGCGAGGUUAAGCGAAAGCGUAGCCGUAGUGAAAGCGAGGCUUAAUAGGCCGACUAGUACGUUGGAGUAGACCCGAAACCGGGUGAUCUAUCCAUGAGCAGGUUGAAGCAAGGGUAAAGCCUUGUGGAGGACCGAACCGUCAACGGCUGAAAACGUUCCGGAUGACUUGUGGAUAGGGGUGAAAGGUCAAUCAAACCCGGUGAUAGCUGGUUCUCCCCGAAAUAUAUUGAGGUAUAGCCUCGGGAAUUGAUUAGCGGAGGUAAAGCACUGACAGAGCUAGGGGUCCUACCAGAUUACCAAACUCUAUCAAACUCAGAAUGCCGCUUAAUCGUAUCCCGGGAGUCAGACGGCGGGUGCGAAGGUUCGUCGUCAAAAGGGAAACAGCCCAGACCAACAGCUAAGGUCUCCAAAUCCAUGCUCAGUGGUGAAGGUAGUGGAACCGUUUAGACAGCCAGGACGUUGGCUUAGAAGCAGCCAUCGUUUAAAGAAAGCGUAAUAGCUCACUGGUCUAAUGGCUCUGCGCCGAAAAUGUAACGGGGCUAAGCAUGGUACCGAAGCUUUGGCAAUCUCCUUUGGGGAUUGGGUAGGGGAGCGUUCGCUGCGGGCUGAAGGUGUGCCGGAAGGCAUGCUGGACUGCAGUGAAGUGAUUAUGCUGACAUGAGUAACGAUAAAAUAUGUGAAAAACAUAUUCGCCGAAAACCCGAGGUUUCCUGGGUAAAGGUAAUCUUCCCAGGGUUAGUCGGAUCCUAAGGUGAGGGUGAAAGCCGUAACCGAUGGAAAACAGGUUAAUAUUCCUGUACUUGUUGUGUAGCGCGAUGGAGGGACGCAGGAAGAUAGGCGGGCCGGGUGUUGGAUAUCCCGGUGCAAGCGUGUAGGAAUAUCCGGUAGGCAAAUCCGCCGGACGAAUCUGAGACGCGAGUCCGUGGGCGCAAGCCCUGAAGCCGUUGAGUCUAUGCUGCCUAGAAAAGCUCCUAAGUUUAUCCACAGCAAUCCGUACCGCAAACCAACUCAGGUGGGUGGGAUGAACAAUCCAAGGCGCUCGAGAGAACUCUGGCCAAGGAACUCGGCAAAAUAACCCCGUAACUUCGGAAGAAGGGGUGCUCUCUAGGGUGACAUGUUUAACAUAUGAAGCCCCGGGGAGCCGCAGUGAAUUGGUGGUGGCGACUGUUUACUAAAAACAUAGGUCUGUGCGAAGUCCUAAAGACGACGUAUACGGACUGACGCCUGCCCGGUGCUGGAAGGUUAAAAGGAGGGGUCAGCGCAAGCAAAGCUCCGAAUUGAAGCCCCAGUAAACGGCGGCCGUAACUAUAACGGUCCUAAGGUAGCGAAAUUCCUUGUCGGGUAAGUUCCG